This 253-nucleotide ribosomal RNA is filed under the name uncultured bacterium. Its description in RNAcentral is "partial 16S ribosomal RNA". It matches the Rfam family "Bacterial small subunit ribosomal RNA", at positions 524 to 776 of the family's 1533-position model. The record is from RNAcentral.
UACGUAGGGGGCGAGCGUUGUCCGGAGUUACUGGGCGUAAAGCGCACGCAGGCGGUCUGCUAAGUUUGGAGUGACAGUUGGUGGCUUAACUGCCAAAGUGCUUCGAAAACUGACAGACUUGAGGGCUUCAGAGGGACACGGAAUUCCGGGUGGAGUGGUGAAAUGCGCAGAGAUCCGGAGGAACACCAAAGGCGAAGGCAGUGUCCUGGGGAGUACCUGACGCUCAGGUGCGAAAGCCAGGGGAGCGAACGGG